RNAcentral lists this ribosomal RNA (501 nucleotides) under uncultured Flexibacteraceae bacterium. Its description in RNAcentral is "bacterial SSU rRNA". It matches the Rfam family "Bacterial small subunit ribosomal RNA", at positions 9 to 508 of the family's 1533-position model. The record is from RNAcentral. Lineage: Bacteria; Pseudomonadati; Bacteroidota; Cytophagia; Cytophagales; Cytophagaceae.
AGGCUUGAUCCUGGGCUCGGAUGGACGCUAGCGGCAGGCCUAAUACAUGCAAGUCGGACGGUAGAGAUUCUUUCGGGGAUUUUGAGAGUGGCGCACGGGUGCGUAACGCGUAUGCAACCUACCUUUUACCGGGGGAUAGCCCGGGGAACCCGGAUUAAUACCCCAUAGUAUCAGGAGACGGCAUCGUUUUCUGAUUAAAGAUUCAUCGGUAGAAGAUGGGCAUGCGUAGGAUUAGCUAGUUGGCGGGGUAACGGCCCACCAAGGCGACGAUCCUUAGGGGUUCUGAGAGGAAGGUCCCCCACACUGGCACUAAGAUACGGGCCAGACUCCUACGGGAGGCAGCAGUAGGGAAUAUUGGGCAAUGGUCGGAAGACUGACCCAGCCAUGCCGCGUGCAGGAAGAAGGCGUUACGCGUUGUAAACUGCUUUUAUACGGGAAGAAAAAGCAACUGCGGUUGAAAUUGCCGGUACCGUUAGUUAUAAGCACCGGCGUACAUCGGUC